UAGUAAUCGUUAUAACAAGUUGUGUGUGAAAAUGACAAACCCAUGUACAAGAGACCUAACAUGAACUACAAAUGCACAAACCCAAAGUUUUAUUUUGAAGUGUGGAAUAGAACCGGUAGUCCGUCUUCUUUGUUCUCGUAAUUAGGUAGCUAAACGUUUCAGUUUAGUAGUAGAUGCAGCUUCAUUUUUUCGGUCACUGGCUAGCAGAAACGCCAGUGAUACCCGUGGUGAAUUAGCUUUGCCUGGAAGUUGACUUAAUACUUAGAACGCAAAAACACGUUGGUGUUUUUACAACGCUAUGCUGAAGUCGAGACACUUCAUGGCAUUAAUCGAUGCUAACCAGGAGGGCUCGCUAACCUUACUGUCUGACAGGCGAACUUAGCUAACGGCACCGAAGGUACGAAGACUGGAGUAACGUGUUUCGGGCGACUGUGAAAAAGAACCUUGUCAAGCAGUGGCGUUAAUGUUAGCUGGCGUUGAGCUGAAGGCCAGGUCAACUCUGCCAGUUCAUUUGAAGCUAGCUGAAGCGAAUGCGCUUAUAAAGCAAAGCGCCAUUACUGGAAACUACUGUAGAGGAAGCCAAGCUAAUCCAUGGUCAUGUAGACGAGAAGCUUGACUUAUCAAUGCUGUGACUUCAUUUUCAUAAAUGUAAGGGUGGGGUCACCCUUUCUCAUUGUUGGACUGCUCAAAACACACCCGCAGGCGUGUCCAUGGCCUGAAGACAUUAUUUAGUCCUAGCCUGAACCCUUGUGAACAAGUAUUACCACUUAACCCCUGGACUGGCAGUACAUGCAUACUUUUCUCAUAAGGUCACAAAGCUGCUCAUCUGACGCAAGGAAGAGCUGUGAACGGAGUGUGUGCUGACUUUAAUUUAACUCCACCAAAUUCAGCCAUAAAGCUAUGACUAUGGUAGACAGAGCAUGGGGGUGGGUGCGCUCUUGGGGCAGCACUUCUGUGUCAGGGAAUAUCACAGUGGUUACAGCUGAGGCCCAGAAGCAUGGCUGUGGUAGUCAGGGCCUAAGGGGCUGGAGCUCUUGGAUGUGGAGAGGUUGGAAAUGUCAGAGUGACAAAAGUAGUCCAGUAGAAGAGUACUGGGAGGCGCAGGAGAAGCUUCAGCCAAUGGAAAUUGAAGAUCUCAGUGCGGAGAAACAUGUGACACAGGCAAAUUCAGAGAAUAUUUCUAGUUGGUGGAAUAAAUAUCUCCCAACUUCUUACCUUUCAUGGCCAAGAAAAACAAGGCCAGGUGGACUAAGACAAAGGAAACAUGAUACAAGGGGAGGUGCGUGUGACCACAAUAUCGACGGGGACUUGUCUGACUACAGGACGCCACCUCCGUCCCCUACACCUCCAUCUUCUCAGUUGAUAUCUCCUUUUCGAUUCUUUAUGCACAGCUGGAAUGUGGAAGUGCUGCCAGAGCACUAUGAGAUCUGUUUCAACUUCCUACGCCACUUGUUUGACCUGUUUGUUGUUGGCUUUCUGUGGACUGUGUCCCCUCCUGCCAAGCUGAUCCUGGAGGUGUUGGGGGUCCAGGGCACAAUGAGACUGUGGUUUCAUGGUAUGGCCAUGUUUUUUGUCUCCACAGUCGGAAUGGCGGGAUUACUCUGGUUGAUCCAGGAGUAUCUUCCUCAGUUUGCUUUGAUCUAUGGUGUCGUACAGGCAUUGGUGAUCUCUGUCAGUAUUCGACAGAGUGUAAUGCUCAACACUGAGGAGGAAAAAGAAGGAAAGGACAAAGAAGGCAAGGAAACUGAUGAAAAAACAGAGUAGGGAACGAAGCUUUCCUGUUAAGGACAAGGUGAAGACCACUUAAAAUUAACGCUGUUGCAGCAGUGGAGACAGGGAGCCCAGGAGAAACUAAAGUCUGCCAGGAGCAUGUAGGGGAUCAGUUAGGUUGCAAACAAACAGCUGCCUGUUCAGGCUGUUUAAAAGUAAGUGCACCUGAAAUGUCUCUAAUAAUCCCUGUUUGGAAUGGAAAACAGUGUUUGCACAACUAGAAGAGUGUAGGUCAAAAUUGCAAGCAGAAGGCAGGUCUGUAAAUUGUAAUGGAGUUUUACAAUCCAUCCAUCCAUCCAUUUUCCUCCGCUUAUCCGGGACCAGGUCGCGGGGGCAGCAGUCUAAGCUUGCUUGCUUCGCUUUGCUUUGCUUGCUUUGCUUUGCUUAGUUUUACAAUAGUUUUGUUUAUAAUUCAGUUAUUUAACCGUGGCCACGUAGUCCCACUUGGAGCAUCAGAAGAGCUAUGUAUGGCUGCUCUUUGUGGAUUUUAGCUCCGCAUUCAACACCAUCCUCCCCCACAAACUGGUGGACCUGGGAAUUCCAUAUCCCACCUGCAUAUGGAUUAAGAGCUUCCUGUCCGGACGCAGCCAGAGGGUGAGACACAUCCACGGCUCUCAACCUCAGCACUGGUUCACCACAAGGCUGUGUGCUGAGCCCCCUGCUCUACACCCACCACGGCAACACCAUUGUAAAAUUUACUGAUGACACUAUGGUGGUGGGGCUUAUCUCUGGGGGGGAUGAGACUGCCUACAGGGAUGAGGUGGAGAGGCUGAUAGUGUGGUGCAGAGAGAACAAUCUGCUCCU
Monopterus albus (swamp eel) is the source of this 2574-nucleotide RNA transcript. It is a transcript of the gene named chromosome unknown C6orf47 homolog, with no coding region annotated. The transcript has 3 exons. The record is from RefSeq and is a predicted model, not a curated record. Lineage: Eukaryota; Metazoa; Chordata; Actinopteri; Synbranchiformes; Synbranchidae.